RNAcentral lists this small nuclear RNA (201 nucleotides) under Dermacentor andersoni. RNAcentral describes it as "U2 spliceosomal RNA". It matches the Rfam family "U2 spliceosomal RNA". Rfam says of the family: U2 is a small nuclear RNA (snRNA) component of the spliceosome (involved in pre-mRNA splicing). Lineage: Eukaryota; Metazoa; Arthropoda; Arachnida; Ixodida; Ixodidae. The record is from RNAcentral.
AUAUUUGACAUGGCAGUUACAUGUUAAUAAAAUUCCCUGUGUGUAGUAUCUGUUCUUAUCAGCUUAAUAUCUGAUACGGGUUCUAUAUGAACCCACGAUAUUAAACCUAUUUUUGGAAGUUGGCGGAGUGCUUGAAGCCUGCUUCACCUCCGCCGCAGGUCGGCCCGGUAUUGCACUACCUCCGGGAUCGGUCCCCACUCA